GAGUUUGAUCCUGGCUCAGGAUGAACGCUGGCGGCGUGCCUAACACAUGCAGUCGAGCGAACCCUUCGGGGUGAGCGGCGGACGGGUGAGUAACGCGUGGGUAACCUGCCUAUACACACGGAUAACGUACCGAAAGGUACGCUAAUACGAGAUAAUAUAUUUUUAUCGCAGGUAGAAAUAUCAAAGCUCCGGCGGUAUAGGAUGGACCCGCGUCUGAUUAGCUAGUUGGUAGGUAAUGGCUUACCAAGGCGACGAUCAGUAGCCGACCUGAGAGGGUGAUCGGCCACAUUGAACUGAGACACGGUCCAAACUCCUACGGGAGGCAGCAGUGGGGAAUAUUGCACAAUGGGGAAAGCCUGAUGCAGCAACGCCGCGUGAGCGAUGAAGGCCUUCGGGUCGUAAAGCUCUGUCUCAAGGAAGAUAAUGACGGUACUUGAGGAGGAAGCCCCGGCUAACUACGUGCCAGCAGCGCGGUAAUACGUAGGGGGCUAGCGUUAUCCGGAAUUACUGGGCGUAAAGGGUGCGUAGGUGUUUCUUAAGUCAGAGGUGAAAGGCUACGGCUCAACCGUAGUAAGCCUUUGAAACUGAGAACUUGAGUGCAGGAGAGGAGAGUAGAAUUCCUAGUGUAGCGGUGAAAUGCGUAGAUAUUAGAGGAAUACCAGUUGCGAAGGCGGCUCUCUGGACUGUAACUGACACUG
Molecule: ribosomal RNA, 698 nt
Filed under: uncultured Clostridium sp.
Lineage: Bacteria; Bacillati; Bacillota; Clostridia; Eubacteriales; Clostridiaceae
Description: bacterial SSU rRNA
Rfam family: Bacterial small subunit ribosomal RNA
Source: RNAcentral